This 274-nucleotide ribosomal RNA is filed under the name uncultured Staphylococcus sp. Its description in RNAcentral is "partial 16S ribosomal RNA". It matches the Rfam family "Bacterial small subunit ribosomal RNA", at positions 87 to 354 of the family's 1533-position model. Lineage: Bacteria; Bacillati; Bacillota; Bacilli; Caryophanales; Staphylococcaceae. The record is from RNAcentral.
UGACGUUAGCGGCGGACGGGUGAGUAACACGUGGGUAACCUACCUAUAAGACUGGGAUAACUCCGGGAAACCGGGGCUAAUACCGGAUAANACAUGAAACCGCAUGGUUUCAUGAUGAAAGACGGUUUUGCUGUCACUUAUAGAUGGACCCGCGGCGUAUUAGCUAGUUGGUAAGGUAACGGCUUACCAAGGCAACGAUACGUAGCCGACCUGAGAGGGUGAUCGGCCACACUGGAACUGAGACACGGUCCAGACUCCUACGGGAGGCAGCAGA